Molecule: ribosomal RNA, 496 nt
Filed under: uncultured bacterium
Lineage: Bacteria
Description: bacterial SSU rRNA
Rfam family: Bacterial small subunit ribosomal RNA
Source: RNAcentral
CAGACUCCUACGGGAGGCAGCAGUGGGGGAUAUUGCGCAAUGGGGGCAACCCUGACGCAGCAACGCCGCGUGAAGGAUGAAGGUCUUCGGAUUGUAAACUUCUUUUAUUAAGGACGAAAAAUGACGGUACUUAAUGAAUAAGCUCCGGCUAACUACGUGCCAGCAGCCGCGGUAAUACGUAGGGAGCAAGCGUUGUCCGGAUUUACUGGGUGUAAAGGGUGCGUAGGCGGCUUUGCAAGUCAGAUGUGAAAUCUAUGGGCUCAACCCAUAAACUGCAUUUGAAACUGUAGAGCUUGAGUGAAGUAGAGGCAGGCGGAAUUCCCCGUGUAGCGGUGAAAUGCGUAGAGAUGGGGAGGAACACCAGUGGCGAAGGCGGCCUGCUGGGCUUUAACUGACGCUGAGGCACGAAAGCGUGGGUAGCAAACAGGAUUAGAUACCCUGGUAGUCCACGCUGUAAACGAUGAAAAGAGGUGUGGGGGGUCUGACCCCUUCCGUG